RNAcentral lists this ribosomal RNA (259 nucleotides) under Verrucella reticulata. RNAcentral's name for it is "partial large subunit ribosomal RNA". The record is from RNAcentral. Lineage: Eukaryota; Metazoa; Cnidaria; Anthozoa; Scleralcyonacea; Ellisellidae.
UACGUGAAACCGUUGAAAGGGAAGCGAAUGGAGUUAGCAAUUCGCCCUGCCAUAUUCAGUCUUUCGCGUUCCGUGACGGGCGUGCACUCGAUCUACGUAGACGAGUCGUGUUCGUACACGGGGCGCCACCGGCGCAUUUAUGGCGGGCGAGCGUCAACGKCGGUCUUCGUUGCSCUAAAAGGCCGCGAGGGAGGUGAACCGCCUUCGGGCUGUUGUUAUAACCUCGCGAGCUAUUCCUCCACCAAAAACCGGGAAUCCC